AGAGUUUGAUCCUGGCUCAGAUUGAACGCUGGCGGCAGGCCUAACACAUGCAAGUCGAGCGGUAGAGAGGAGCUUGCUCCUCUUGAGAGCGGCGGACGGGUGAGUAAUGCCUAGGAAUCUGCCUGGUAGUGGGGGAUAACGUUCGGAAACGGACGCUAAUACCGCAUACGUCCUACGGGAGAAAGCAGGGGACCCUCGGGCCUUGCGCUAUCAGAUGAGCCUAGGUCGGAUUAGCUAGUUGGUGAGGUAAUGGCUCACCAAGGCGACGAUCCGUAACUGGUCUGAGAGGAUGAUCAGUCACACUGGAACUGAGACACGGUCCAGACUCCUACGGGAGGCAGCAGUGGGGAAUAUUGGACAAUGGGCGAAAGCCUGAUCCAGCCAUGCCGCGUGUGUGAAGAAGGUCUUCGGAUUGUAAAGCACUUUAAGUUGGGAGGAAGGGCAGUAAAUUAAUACUUUGCUGUUUUGACGUUACCGACAGAAUAAGCACCGGCUAACUCUGUGCCAGCAGCCGCGGUAAUACAGAGGGUGCAAGCGUUAAUCGGAAUUACUGGGCGUAAAGCGCGCGUAGGUGGUUUGUUAAGUUGGAUGUGAAAUCCCCGGGCUCAACCUGGGAACUGCAUUCAAAACUGACUGACUAGAGUAUGGUAGAGGGUGGUGGAAUUUCCUGUGUAGCGGUGAAAUGCGUAGAUAUAGGAAGGAACACCAGUGGCGAAAGCGACCACCUGGACUAAUACUGACACUGAGGUGCGAAAGCGUGGGGAGCAAACAGGAUUAGAUACCCUGGUAGUCCACG
This 796-nucleotide ribosomal RNA is filed under the name uncultured bacterium. Its description in RNAcentral is "bacterial SSU rRNA". It matches the Rfam family "Bacterial small subunit ribosomal RNA", at positions 8 to 799 of the family's 1533-position model. The record is from RNAcentral.